AGAGAGAAGGAAGGGAGGAGGGGCGAGCCAGAGAGGCGUCGGGGACGCGGGGCCACUCACCGCGGAGCCAGCGCGCGCCGGCGUGCGUGUCCUUGGGGCGGAUGAGGCGGCGGUGCGCGGCGCUGCGGCGCACGUACCACAGCAUCCAGAGCAGCUGCAGCAGCAUGAGCGCCGUGAGCAGGCACAGCAGGUGGCUCUUGCCCACGCCCGAGGCGUGCACCGCCCAGGCCAGCAGGAGCAGCAGCCCCGCCACGAACACGAUGAGCCCGUACUGGCUGCUCAGCGCCUCGGCCAGCUUCUGCGGGACGCCAGCCCGGACCGCGCCCCGCCGCCCGCGCGGGGGCUCCGGGGGCUCGGGGGGCUCCGGGGACUGCGGGCACCCCGCGGACCCCCGGGCCGGGAGGCGGGGCGAUGGGCGGGUCGCGGGCCCCGCAGACACCCUGGCCGGGGCGCUCCGAGCCGCCCGGGGAGAGGGCGGCGCCCCCUGGCCCUCGGGCAUCGUGGAGUGACCCGCGCGGGGUCUGGGUCCGGGAGCGGCUGCCAGGCCCCGGCCCGCGCCCCCCGCCCCCGCCCACGCCCACGCCCCGAUCCCCUCCCCUGCGACACCUGCGCUCCCCGCUUCUGCCCCUCCGCCCUCCGUCCAGUGUACCCGUGUGUCUGCCAGGAGAUGCCCAGAUGGGGACAAGACAGGAGCCACUUCCCAAUAAAACAGAUCGCCCCUCCCUCUUCUGAGAGAACCUCUGCACUGAGCAGUGCUGGGAGUGGGGGCUGCCAGGCGCUCCUGGAACCGUGGAGGCCUGAGCGCCUCCCUCUGCACCCCACCCCUACCCCAGCCUAUCUGAAGUUGGAGUCUGCCAGGGUGUCCCAUUCAGAUGCAGCUGAAGAGGAGAUUCCCUCCCCCAGAGCUUUCUGCAAAGGAACAAUCCUAAGGGUGCACUUGGCUGAGAGCAGGGGAAGGAGCCAGGAAAUUGGUGGGGGGAGCCUCUUGGGGGACUGCAGUCUGGAAGAAGCUCAGGCGGGCCUCUUGGGUGAGCCCCCUGUGCAGUAG
This 1048-nucleotide long non-coding RNA is filed under the name Canis lupus familiaris (dog). Its description in RNAcentral is "lncRNA (ENSCAFG00030001538.1)". The record is from RNAcentral. Lineage: Eukaryota; Metazoa; Chordata; Mammalia; Carnivora; Canidae.